AUUGAACGCUGGCGGCAGGCCUAACACAUGCAAGUCGAGCGGAUGAAGGGAGCUUGCUCCUGGAUUCAGCGGCAGACGGGUGAGUAAUGCCUAGGAAUCUGCCUGGUAGUGGGGGAUAACGUCCGGAAACGGGCGCUAAUACCGCAUACGUCCUGAGGGAGAAAGUGGGGGAUCUUCGGACCUCACGCUAUCAGAUGAGCCUAGGUCGGAUUAGCUAGUUGGUGGGGUAAAGGCCUACCAAGGCGACGAUCCGUAACUGGUCUGAGAGGAUGAUCAGUCACACUGGAACUGAGACACGGUCCAGACUCCUACGGGAGGCAGCAGUGGGGAAUAUUGGACAAUGGGCGAAAGCCUGAUCCAGCCAUGCCGCGUGUGUGAAGAAGGUCUUCGGAUUGUAAAGCACUUUAAGUUGGGAGGAAGGGCAGUAAGUUAAUACCUUGCUGUUUUGACGUUACCAACAGAAUAAGCACCGGCUAACUUCGU
Molecule: ribosomal RNA, 483 nt
Filed under: uncultured bacterium
Lineage: Bacteria
Description: partial 16S ribosomal RNA
Rfam family: Bacterial small subunit ribosomal RNA
Source: RNAcentral